AGAGUUUGAUCCUGGCUCAGGAUGAACGCUGGCGGCGUGCCUAAUACAUGCAAGUCGAGCGAACGGACGAGAAGCUUGCUUCUCUGAUGUUAGCGGCGGACGGGUGAGUAACACGUGGAUAACCUACCUAUAAGACUGGGAUAACUUCGGGAAACCGGAGCUAAUACCGGAUAAUAUUUUGAACCGCAUGGUUCAAAAGUGAAAGACGGUCUUGCUGUCACUUAUAGAUGGAUCCGCGCUGCAUUAGCUAGUUGGUAAGGUAACGGCUUACCAAGGCAACGAUGCAUAGCCGACCUGAGAGGGUGAUCGGCCACACUGGAACUGAGACACGGUCCAGACUCCUACGGGAGGCAGCAGUAGGGAAUCUUCCGCAAUGGGCGAAAGCCUGACGGAGCAACGCCGCGUGAGUGAUGAAGGUCUUCGGAUCGUAAAACUCUGUUAUUAGGGAAGAACAUAUGUGUAAGUAACUGUGCACAUCUUGACGGUACCUAAUCAGAAAGCCACGGCUAACUACGUGCCAGCAGCCGCGGUAAUACGUAGGUGGCAAGCGUUAUCCGGAAUUAUUGGGCGUAAAGCGCGCGUAGGCGGUUUUUUAAGUCUGAUGUGAAAGCCCACGGCUCAACCGUGGAGGGUCAUUGGAAACUGGAAAACUUGAGUGCAGAAGAGGAAAGUGGAAUUCCAUGUGUAGCGGUGAAAUGCGCAGAGAUAUGGAGGAACACCAGUGGCGAAGGCGACUUUCUGGUCUGUAACUGACGCUGAUGUGCGAAAGCGUGGGGAUCAAAACAGGAUUAGAUACCCUGGUAGUCCACGCCGUAAACGAUGAGUGCUAAGUGUUAGGGGGUUUCCGCCCCUUAGUGCUGCAGCUAACGCAUUAAGCACUCCGCCUGGGGAGUACGACCGCAAGGUUGAAACUCAAAGGAAUUGACGGGGACCCGCACAAGCGGUGGAGCAUGUGGUUUAAUUCGAAGCAACGCGAAGAACCUUACCAAAUCUUGACAUCCUUUGACAACUCUAGAGAUAGAGCCUUCCCCUUCGGGGGACAAAGUGACAGGUGGUGCAUGGUUGUCGUCAGCUCGUGUCGUGAGAUGUUGGGUUAAGUCCCGCAACGAGCGCAACCCUUAAGCUUAGUUGCCAUCAUUAAGUUGGGCACUCUAAGUUGACUGCCGGUGACAAACCGGAGGAAGGUGGGGAUGACGUCAAAUCAUCAUGCCCCUUAUGAUUUGGGCUACACACGUGCUACAAUGGACAAUACAAAGGGCAGCGAAACCGCGAGGUCAAGCAAAUCCCAUAAAGUUGUUCUCAGUUCGGAUUGUAGUCUGCAACUCGACUACAUGAAGCUGGAAUCGCUAGUAAUCGUAGAUCAGCAUGCUACGGUGAAUACGUUCCCGGGUCUUGUACACACCGCCCGUCACACCACGAGAGUUUGUAACACCCGAAGCCGGUGGAGUAACCUUUUAGGAGCUAGCCGUCGAAGGUGGGACAAAUGAUUGGGGUGAAGUCGUAACAAGGUAGCCGUAUCGGAAGGUGCGGCUGGAUCACCU
This 1541-nucleotide ribosomal RNA is filed under the name Staphylococcus aureus. RNAcentral's name for it is "16S ribosomal RNA". It matches the Rfam family "Bacterial small subunit ribosomal RNA". The record is from RNAcentral. Lineage: Bacteria; Bacillati; Bacillota; Bacilli; Caryophanales; Staphylococcaceae.